UACGUAGGGGGCAAGCGUUGUCCGGAAUCAUUGGGCGUAAAGAGCGUGUAGGCGGCCCGGUAAGUCCGUUGUGAAAGUCCAGGGCUCAACCCUGGAAUGCCGAUGGAUACUGCCGGGCUAGAGUUCGGAAGAGGCGAGUGGAAUUCCUGGUGUAGCGGUGGAAUGCGCAGAUAUCAGGAGGAACACCUAUAGCGAAGGCAGCUCGCUGGGACGACACUGACGCUGAGACACGAAAGCGUGGGGAGCAAACAGG
This 253-nucleotide ribosomal RNA is filed under the name uncultured bacterium. RNAcentral's name for it is "partial 16S ribosomal RNA". It matches the Rfam family "Bacterial small subunit ribosomal RNA", at positions 524 to 776 of the family's 1533-position model. The record is from RNAcentral.